Long non-coding RNA from Brassica rapa (field mustard), 583 nucleotides. RefSeq lists it as uncharacterized. The record is from RefSeq and is a predicted model, not a curated record. Lineage: Eukaryota; Viridiplantae; Streptophyta; Magnoliopsida; Brassicales; Brassicaceae.
UCUUUUGACUCUUGUUCCUCCAAAUCCUUCUCUUUUACAUGUAUAUUUUCCUCUAUUCUCCUCGUCUUUUUCUCCUUCAAUAGUGUAAAACUUUUGAAUUAAUGAAAAGUCAGAUUCUGGUGAGGAUGAGAUUUGGGAAGAUUGUAGAAGGCUUGAAGUCCAAGAUAAAGGCAAGUCUAAGGAUGAGGAAGAGAUCCUCAUUAUCAUCAUCAUCAUCAUCGUCAUCAUCAUCAUCAUCGUAUGAGAAGAUAGAGAAGACGGACAGUAUGAGAUUUGAGUUAAGAAGCAGAAAGGCACACAAAAUUAUCCAACAAACUCUUCGGAUUGCCGACUCUCCAACCUCAAGAACUUAUGCUUUAUGAUUUCAUCGUCGACUCUCCAACCUCAAGAACUUAUGCUUUAUGAUUUCAUCGUUUUACCAUCCAAAACAUAUUCAUACAUACAUAUAGACUUGCGUGUACGCAUCUGUUUAUACAUAUCCAUCUAAAUUGUUGUACGUGUGUGUAUGUAUGUGUGAAAGGUUACAUGGAUGAUGUCAUGGGUGAUGGAUAUUAUCUUGGCUAAUGGAUGAUGAUUAGAUGAA